UGGGGAAUCUUGGACAAUGGGGGCAACCCUGAUCCAGCCAUGCCGCGUGAGUGAUGAAGGCCUUAGGGUCGUAAAGCUCUUUCGCCUGUGAAGAUAAUGACGGUAGCAGGUAAAGAAACCCCGGCUAACUCCGUGCCAGCAGCCGCGGUAAUACGGAGGGGGUUAGCGUUGUUCGGAAUUACUGGGCGUAAAGCGCACGUAGGCGGACCAGAAAGUUGGGGGUGAAAUCCCGGGGGCUCAACCCCGGAACUGCCUCCAAAACUAUUGGUCUAGAGUUCGAGAGAGGUGAGUGGAAUUCCAAGUGUAGAGGUGAAAUUCGUAGAUAUUUGGAGGAACACCAGUGGCGAAGGCGGCUCACUGGCUCGAUACUGACGCUGAGGUGCGAAAGUGUGGGGAGCAAAACAGGAUUAGAUACCCUGGUAGUCCACGCCGUAAAACGAUGAGUGCUAGUCGUCGGCAGGCAUGCCUGUCGGUGACGCAGCUAACGCAUUAAGCACUCCGCCUGGGGAGUACGGCCGCAGGUUAAAACUCAAA
This 534-nucleotide ribosomal RNA is filed under the name uncultured bacterium. RNAcentral's name for it is "bacterial SSU rRNA". It matches the Rfam family "Bacterial small subunit ribosomal RNA", at positions 355 to 905 of the family's 1533-position model. The record is from RNAcentral.